UCACAGAUCGCUCUCUAGAAAUCCUGUUAAGCCUUGAUUCACCAGUCCAUGAGUUUUGAUUGUUUCUAGAGGGUUUGGAGGCUAACAGACUGGUUAUUUUAUUUGCAUAGUUCAAGAAACACUGAAAUUGGCCUGAGUGAUUAUAAUUUUGUCCUCUGCCUGCUGAAUCACAUUUUUCAGAGAAGUUACAUUGGUACUCCCAAGGAACAGCAUUCUUUCCCAGGUGUUUGUGGGCCUGCACUAAAUUCAGUAAGUGCCCCCAAUGGUUAUGAUAAACUGGCAAUUGUCUGGAUGAGUGAGAAGAUUGUAAUUCAAGGAGCUCUGCUGCAAAAUAUUUUUUUAAGCUCACAGGGACUCGUUAAUACCCCCCAUUACCUCGCUGGUUCCAAUAUAAAGUGCCAGAUUUACUGCUGCUGAACAAUCCGGAGUGAUUUACUGCUCUGCUCUUCAUCAGCAAGAAGGAAGAAUCAACCCAUCCCAUUAGGCAGGCAAAUGAGGAGGCUGUUAAACUGCACAGAACGGAUAUUUAUAUUUCCCUGUUUUUCAUGCAGCUAGGCUACAUCAUGUGAAGGUGAACAAUGAGUGUCAAUAAAAUGGCAUUCUGGCAGUAAUGAAAAGGAUCUCUAAGUUGGAUGGUCAAUAAGUGCAUUGGAAUCAUGACACUAACUGAGAAAGAUGCUUCCAUCUGUGCCAAUGCCUUUUUUUCUCUUUAGAGCAAUAAACUGACUCUAGUUGUUUUGUUUUGGACUGUGCAAUUUUGCCUUGGGCUGUGGUCUCCUCUGUUGUGCGUAAUUUGCAAAAUGAAUGAGCAUCUUCAUUUCACUAUUGGAAAGUUAUCAGCCUCGUUGAAAACAAAUUAAUUCACAGAACAAGCUAGCCCCAGUAACUUGUUUGAAUGCUGGGGAAUUAUAUGGGCAAAAAGAAGGGAGGAAUACAGCAGAAGUGGAGAUGCUCUUGGCUUCCACUCCAGCCUAUUGUGGGAGGUGACCCAGGCACCCUCCCCACCUACAUAGAGAUGAAGGAAUUCAGGAACUGUAUAACAGAUUCUCUAGUAUUCUUUAGCCUUGACACUCUCCAGCCUAGUCCCUUUUCCUGCCUCCAAAUCAUCCAUGUGUAACAAUGCUCAGGGACUUUCUGCAGAGCUAUAUUCCCUGCUGCAAGUUGGUGCACUGCCUCUCAGAUCCUGUCGCAUGCCCAUUGUACGCUGAUUCCACUGCAAGAGGGCCCUUUGUGUCCAUAGAGGAGAGAUCAAGAUUUGCCCAGUAGAGAUGAUGGUGUUGAUGGUAUGGUUCAUUUUAUAUAUAAAACUAAGAUUUAAACACACAGAAAAGAAAAUAGCAUUACACAAAAGAAAAUAGCAUUAAAACUGAGCAGUAAUUAUAUGUGUAGUUUUUGGAAAACUUAAAAAAAUGAUUUAGCUAUGGCACUAACUGAAAUAUCAGUUAUAAGUCCCUGUGUCUAGGGCAAUAAUCCUUCUUCCUCAUCUCACUGGAUAGCGUACGUGU
This 1505-nucleotide long non-coding RNA is filed under the name Chrysemys picta bellii (western painted turtle). Its description in RNAcentral is "lncRNA (ENSCPBG00000021767.1)". The record is from RNAcentral. Lineage: Eukaryota; Metazoa; Chordata; Testudines; Emydidae.